UAGAUGAUGGGCACAACAGAAAUGAGCUGC
RNAcentral lists this non-coding RNA (30 nucleotides) under Mus musculus (house mouse). Lineage: Eukaryota; Metazoa; Chordata; Mammalia; Rodentia; Muridae. The record is from RNAcentral.